GACGAACGCUGGCGGCGUGCUUAACACAUGCAAGUCGAACGGAAAGGCCCUGCUUUUGUGGGGUGCUCGAGUGGCGAACGGGUGAGUAACACGUGAGUAACCUGCCCUUGACUUUGGGAUAACUUCAGGAAACUGGGGCUAAUACCGGAUAGGAGCUCCUGCUGCAUGGUGGGGGUUGGAAAGUUUCGGCGGUUGGGGAUGGACUCGCGGCUUAUCAGCUUGUUGGUGGGGUAGUGGCUUACCCAGGCUUUGACGGGUAGCCGGCCUGGGAGGGUGACCGGCCACAUUGGGACUGAGAGACGGCCCAGACUCCUACGGGAGGCAGCAGUGGGGAAUAUUGCACAAUGGGCGGAAGCCUGAUGCAGCAACGCCGCGUGCGGGAUGACGGCCUUCGGGUUGUAAACCGCUGUCGCCUGUGACGAAGCGUGAGUGACGGUAAUGGGUAAAGAAGCACCGGCUAACUACGUG
This 468-nucleotide ribosomal RNA is filed under the name uncultured bacterium. Its description in RNAcentral is "partial 16S ribosomal RNA". It matches the Rfam family "Bacterial small subunit ribosomal RNA", at positions 28 to 507 of the family's 1533-position model. The record is from RNAcentral.